This 72-nucleotide transfer RNA is filed under the name Fukomys damarensis (Damara mole-rat). It matches the Rfam family "tRNA". From Rfam's summary of the family: Transfer RNA (tRNA) molecules are approximately 80 nucleotides in length. Their secondary structure includes four short double-helical elements and three loops (D, anti-codon, and T loops). Lineage: Eukaryota; Metazoa; Chordata; Mammalia; Rodentia; Bathyergidae. The record is from Rfam by way of RNAcentral.
UAGAGCGUAGUGUAUCAGGUUGCACAAAGAAAUUUGAAUUCUUCAGUAUAGGUUCAAAUCCUAUAGUUCUAG